UGUUUUUCCCAGAUAGAUGAAAGAAUAAUAAAUAUACUAAUCUAGCUCUUCUUUGUCUCCGUCUCUUUUUAGACUGUAUGAAGUUGGCAGUAUUACAGAGAAAGACUGUGCUGGUCUGAUUUCUGCUCUGAUUAUAAAUCCCUCACACCUGAGAGAGCUGGAUCUGAAUGAGAAUAAACUACUUCAGUCAGCACUGAAAAAGCUCUGUGAUCUACUGAAGAAUCCUCGCUGUAAACUGGAGAAACUGAGACUUAAGAAUUGCAGUAUAAAAGAGAAAGGCUGUGCUGAUCUGACCUCGGCUCUUUGUUCGAAUCCAGUUCACAUCAAAGUUCUGGAUCUGAGUAAAAAUAAACUAGGAGAUUCAGGAAUGAAGCAGCUCAGUGAACUGCUGAAGAAUCAGGAGUGUAAACUACAGGAACUACUGCUUCAGGAGUGCAGUAUAGAAGAGGAAGGCUGCACUGCUCUGACUUCAGCUCUAACCUCAAACCCCUCUCACCUGAGAGAAUUGGAUCUGCAGGAGAAUAAACUGGGAAAGUCAGUAAAACAGCUCUCAGAGCUAAUGAAGAAAUCAGGAUGUCAUUUAC
Molecule: long non-coding RNA, 584 nt
Organism: Astyanax mexicanus (Mexican tetra)
Lineage: Eukaryota; Metazoa; Chordata; Actinopteri; Characiformes; Acestrorhamphidae
Exons: 3
Source: RefSeq, a predicted model, not a curated record